UACAGAGGUGGCAAGCGUUGUUCGGAUUUACUGGGCGUAAAGGGUGCGUAGGCGGUUCCGUAUGUCGGAUGUGAAAUCCCACGGAUUAUCCGUGGAACUGCAUUCGAAACUGCGGGGCUGGAGUGCAGGAGAGGAAGGCGGAAUUCUCGGUGUAGCGGUGAAAUGCGUUGAUAUCGAGAGGAACGCCGGUGGCGAAGGCGGCCUUCUGGACUGCAACUGACGCUGAGGCACGAAAGUCAGGGGAGCAAACAGG
This 253-nucleotide ribosomal RNA is filed under the name uncultured bacterium. Its description in RNAcentral is "partial 16S ribosomal RNA". It matches the Rfam family "Bacterial small subunit ribosomal RNA", at positions 524 to 776 of the family's 1533-position model. The record is from RNAcentral.